This 729-nucleotide long non-coding RNA is filed under the name Homo sapiens (human). RNAcentral's name for it is "HSALNT0115177". Lineage: Eukaryota; Metazoa; Chordata; Mammalia; Primates; Hominidae. The record is from RNAcentral.
ACCAGGAGGAUGACUUGCUGGUUCGUGAUGGGACUCACCUCUGCUAAUGCAAGGGCUGACUGCCAUAAUCACCUCGUAUGUGGACAUUUAUGACAUCCCAAGACUCAUAAUUUCCCUUGAGAAGUUCCAAGUUUAGUAGAUGGAAAAGAUGUUGCCUGCUCCAGCAGUGUCUUCCGAUGAAGGUCCAGGGCUGCAUCCCAAACACCCCCACCGACAGCUCAGCCAACAGGACGGAUCACGACUGAAACAGAUGUUCUUGCUCCCCCGGCCAAAAAGUUGGAGUCCCUCCCUGGAGAUGAGACACUUCCCUUUGACACCAGAAGCACCUUCCUGAUUUCAUCAGAUGAGAUACUUGUUUGGGGAAUGACCCCAAUGUCUUGCCUUAAGCAAACAAAUAAAAUGUUUGAAUUUAGUGAGGGCAUGAACCCGAUAUGUAAAAUGUAGAGUUAGGAAAAUUAUAUUGUAUAGAAAAUAGCACAUUAUUUCCCUGGUGAGCCAGCAACCUCCCAAAAUAAUUGUGUAAAACAGAGGAUAAAAAGAGCUCAGCAAGAAACCCUUAUGUCCUCGAGAAGGCAACCAAAUUGGAGAAUGAGGUUUAGUAUACGGUAUUUCUCAACAAGAACUGUAAAACUGAAUUAAAACCUGAAAGCAAUGAUAAAACUCUUACUAAAAUAUGUAGUCCAUGCAUUUCUUCUGUGUGAUUCUUCCGUGCGAUUCUUUAGAACUGAA